This 444-nucleotide ribosomal RNA is filed under the name uncultured bacterium. RNAcentral describes it as "bacterial SSU rRNA". It matches the Rfam family "Bacterial small subunit ribosomal RNA", at positions 958 to 1399 of the family's 1533-position model. The record is from RNAcentral.
AACGCGAAGAACCUUACCAGUCCUUGACAUGUCCACUAUGGGUUUGAGAGAUCAGAUCCUUCACUUCGGGUGGGUGGAACACAGGUGCUGCAUGGCUGUCGUCAGCUCGUGUCGUGAGAUGUUGGGUUAAGUCCCGCAACGAGCGCAACCCUUACCCCCAGUUGCCAUCAUUUAGUUGGGCACUCUGGUGGAACCGCCUCGGAUAACGGGGAGGAAGGUGGGGAUGACGUCAAGUCCUCAUGGCCUUUAUGUCCAGGGCUACACACGUGCUACAAUGGCCGGUACAAACCGUCGCAAACCCGCGAGGGGGAGCUAAUCGGAGAAAGCCGGCCUCAGUUCGGAUUGCAGUCUGCAACUCGACUGCAUGAAGCUGGAAUCGCUAGUAAUCGCGGAUCAGAACGCCGCGGUGAAUACGUUCCCGGGCCUUGUACACACCGACGCGUA